AUCUCGACGUCGUCGUCAUAAUUGUAUUCGUGCUUGCUCAACUGUCCAUGGAGGAAAGAGAACCGACGCAAAGAAGUUCCCAAGGUCCUCCGGCAAAUUUUACAAACUCCGGCGACUUCGGCCAUCGUUGGGGCUGCAUGAGGUGACUGUGCACAACAGCUUUCUAGGAGUCUAUGUGGAUGUAUGAUGCUGGUGUGAGUUCUAGAUUAAGAGUUUGAAGCUGGGUCGUGUUUAAUUAAAGAGUAGCACAGUACGGGUAUCGGUGCAAGGAACUUGGACAGAAUUUGAAAGAAAAUCUGGCAGCAAGUUUCUGGAUGGCAAAUUGGAACAAGGUGAGGAGUGUCAGUAUUUAGCCAUGAAGCUCUCCUGAGAAGCAAAGAGUAUUCCGACUCUACUGUGGCUGAGGUAAAGCAGAAAGUGCUGUUAGCAUGGAGAGUACAACGACCAAAGACUCAGAUUACUCUUUUAUUUGACUAGAAAGUCCCAGAACAAGAAAAUGUGGUGGUGUUGGCCUAGGAACGCAAAUGGAAAUCAAGCAGCGAUAUCUCAGGUAGGGGAUUCUGGACUUGCCUCGGUUAGUAGUUUUAUGAAUGUGAUAAUAAAGAAAUGAUUUAUGCAUGAAAGAAAUAUAUUUUCGAUUCCUUGUGAAUUAUUAUUUGAUGACUUGAGAGUGAGUGGGGCAUAGUGACUUCCUUGGGUUUCGAUCCCCUAAACCUCCGGAGGGGCUGUACGGACUGGAGGACGUCUAACAUCCUUUGAGGUGUGACGUCGCUCCUAGGCGGUAUGGCAUAAAUGUACACUCUCGCUACACCUUGCCGGUGUGUAUGAUAUUAAUUGUGGUAAGGUUGUAGUUGGCUUGAGAUAGACCGGUCAUCAGGUUUGUAUUUCUACCUUGGGCCCUACCUGCAUAUUUUUACAAGGAAUGUUUAUUUCAUACUGUUAUGCAUUAUUUUCACUAUUAGCCAUGGCAAAUGUUUUAAAUUGUUUUAACACCUAGUUGGGGUAAAGUUUAUUGAGCAGCGAGGGCGAAAACUCACCCCUACAACAGUUUGUGGAUGCAGGUACUGUGUACGAUGACGGGAUAGCUGAACAACGUUGAGUGUGGCUUAGACAUUCUAUAUUUCUUGUCAUUGUCAGAGUUAUAUCCGUAUGAUAAGUUUCUUUAUUUAUCGUGUCCUUGUAUACCCUUUUUAUCGAGUAUGUGUAUAUUUGAGAAACUAUUCAUCUUGCAAGCUUUUCGAUUGUUGAUCAUGAAUCGGAUUGAUAUUGAUUUUUGUUUUAGAGGGCUUGUUUGAUUUGAAAGAUAUCUAAACGUGUUAUAUUUUGAUAGGAGCAUAAUUAUGCGACAAUAUGAUGGUUAAUUCCCCUCUUUACUUUAUUAGUUUAUCGUAUUUUUCAUUUGAUUUAGUUAUUUUUAUGUUUAUUAGGUGUUUCGGAGCAAAGAAAGGAAUAUGAAGCAAAAAAGGAGAAAUCUUGAAGGAUUAGGAAUUCAUGUCGUGUAAGGAAAGAAUUAUGGGAUUUGCCAGAAAUUAUUAUCUAACUUCGACAGAGGAUUGUGAUCAGCUCACAACGAUCCAGACAAUGAGUUAUAUAUCAAUAGAAAGCUACAAGAGUCUACUUUCUAGAAUUUUUUACGGAUCGUCAAUACCUAUUUUGUAGAAGAACUUAUGAUCAUUUUAGUGGCCGAAGGUCAGUCUGCCCGAAUUUCUGAUUUGGACCGUAACUUCAAUUUCAAGGCUCAAUCCAAAUCAGCUGGCCCAUGGACGGAAAUUGAGGGUUCUCUAACCUAAUAUCAUCUGAUACACGAGAGGAAACGAAGAAAAAGAAGACAAGUCGGGAAGAAAAGAACACAAGAAUCGGACGGAACAAGAUUGAUCUCUUCUCAAGGAUUCUCCAAGCUCGGUUAUUGUUGUCUUCCCCUUCCAUGAACUCUUUUGUGUUUUUAAUUUUCAUUAUGCGCAACUAAACUCAUAGUAGCUAGGGGGCUGUUGAAGCCCCUAGACAUGAUUCAUAACAUGUUUUGAUUUUCAAUUUGUUUUUGCAAUUAAUAAGAUUGAGGUUUUGUUUACC
This is an RNA transcript of Fragaria vesca subsp. vesca, 2070 nucleotides long. RefSeq lists it as uncharacterized. NCBI's taxonomy places the organism in Eukaryota, Viridiplantae, Streptophyta, Magnoliopsida, Rosales, Rosaceae. The transcript is spliced from 3 exons. The record is from RefSeq and is a predicted model, not a curated record.